UGCGCGGUACAAAGUUCAUGAUGUAGAAUUCGUUUAGUUCAUCCUAUUAGUUAGCUCGGCUCGUCCGAAAUCAAUAUCUUCAAAAUUUGAGAAUUCAAUGAAUUCCUAAUUGUAUUAUUAUUAUUAUUAUUUUUUUUUAGUCUAUCCAUAAUAAUAUGAAUGAGACUUCAAAAACUCUGUUGAUCUAUAAGAGAGCGUAC
RNAcentral lists this unclassified non-coding RNA (200 nucleotides) under Hevea brasiliensis (rubber tree). The record is from RNAcentral. Lineage: Eukaryota; Viridiplantae; Streptophyta; Magnoliopsida; Malpighiales; Euphorbiaceae.